AUUGGCUUUAUGAUUCAUGGAAUUUUAUCAUCAUAAAAGUAUAAUAAUGCCUUCGUACCAAUUCAUGCUUAGUGGACCAAAAGUGUUCAGAUUUUUUUUAUACUUUUGAAUAAAGAUGAACAGGACCAUUAAAUCUGCACCAAUCUCUUUUCUUGAAUCUCUUCACAAAUGAUAAGACAGCUGAUAAAGUUGUCUUAUAAUUUUUAUAAGUUGUCUUAUAGUUUUUAUAUUUUCUAAAAAUUUAAAAACUUCCUGUUUAUUUAAAAGCCCUACCUCAACGUUUCUGAUCACAUUUACCUUAAUACACACUGCUGAAAUCAUAUUUACAUAAACUGUAUAAAAAUUAAAAAAAAGACACAACUGCUUUUUUCUACUGUCUGACAUUAAGUCAGAAUGAACUUUAACCUUUUUAGGUCAGGUAAGCUGGCCUACUUUUUGUUAAAUCUUAGAAUAAUGAGAAUCUUUAAGAUGCUUUCAAAGUGUAUGCUGAUUCACAAAAUUAAGUUAAUUAAAAAAUAUGUUUUAGUGUUAAAUCUGCAAAAAGAAAAAGAUGUUUAAUAGAUGCUGGCUAAUUCUGGUAAAAUAUCAUCGCUGAUCAGAGUGAAAUGGUUCCUGUACCAACAUGGGCUGAAAAGCCUUUCAGAGAAGAAGACAUCAUUACACCACAACAUAAAAGGUUACAGUUUGCAAGUACACUAAGAGAAACGACUUAAAUUCCUGGAGACAAAUCCUGCGUUCUCAUGAAAAAAUGUGUUUGGCCAUAAAGACCAUAGUUACAUUUGAGUGUUUCCCAAACAAACAGUAAAAUGAGGACAGAACACUGCACUGAGAAACAAAAGCAGCAUCUCUGAACAUCAACAAUUAGGUGAAAAGCCUGGGCACAAAUGGUUUCCAAAUGGACAGUGAGCUACAGAUUAUUGUCAAUGUGGCUUGAGAACAACUAAGUCACUGCUUUGAAGUGGUCACACACCCUCAAAUCCUGUAAAAAAAAAAAAGACUGGGCAGAGCUGGAAAGUGUGAGAGAGAUAGGUAGCCUGCAAAUCUGACUCACAUCUAUUAGGAGGGAUUGGCCACAAUUCCAGGAAAUUAUCGUAAGAAGCUUGUGGAGAGAAAACCCAGGUUGCAAAUCAUGAACUUUCAAAGGUAGUUCUAGCAAAUACUAAAGGAAUCUCUUUUUUUUUGAUCUAGCGAAUGGAGAUCCUAAUCCAGACCUAAAACAGAAAGUUUCAUCUGUUUAGAUGUCAGAAAAUGAGAAAAAUAAGGUUAUACGUUUAUUUUAAUCCAAUGUAAACAAACUUCUAGUUUGACCAGUUUGCACUUUAUGUCAAUGUUAUCAAUUGUUUUGCUAUUUUGUUGCAAAUUAGAGCCAUAUUUUCGACCCUUCAGAUCUCCACUCUUUCAAACAUGAAAGUCUAUGUUGACAACACGUAAGGCACAGAUCACAUGAUCAAAGUCCUUCUGAAUACAUACUUUUCUAUAUUCCUUUUAAUUCAGCUCCUCCCACAACGAUUCUUACUUGUAAUCUGAACGGUUGAAGCAAAAACAUCUGGGCCGUAUGUAAAAACCCUGUAUAUACAGACAAUCUGGAAUAAAAUACUUUAAAUCAGUGUGGUCUUAAAUCAGCAGACCAAGUCAGACCGAUUUCCUCAUCAACAAACUUCAGCAAGCAUUUCAAGACAAGACAGUAUAAAAACAUAAUUGCUGUAGAUUUGCUUAUGGGAAAUACAUAUAAAGCACUCCGAAAGCACCAUUUAUUGGAAAAGGAUGCAUUCACGUUAAUAUAUUGAGCAUCUUGGUCAUCACUAACAGGUCAGACCUCAGUGAGUGGGUAAGUAUGACGAUCAAUUUUUAAUGACUUCAUGAUGAUUCAUUCUGUCUGCUGAGCUUCAUUACAUGAAGCUGUCUUACCUCAUUUGUUCUUCGUGCAGCUCGAGAUCACAGAGGGGACGCCUGACUUGGGCGUGACCUCUUACUGGACAGAUGCUGAAGGGAAUGUGGUUUUCAACCCAAAUACUCCAGAAGACAAAAUGAAAACCUCAGUGACAGGAAUGAAAACCCCAAAACGAAAAGAGUCAGUAGCUAGAGAUCCUGCUAAAAAGAUGGAAGACAAGAAGGAGGGCAGCAGUAGCAGGAGGUUGGAAACAGGAAAGAUGUCAGAUGAUGCCCCAGCGGAGACUAAAUCUUCAAAGUCAGACCGACCAAUGGAUGCUAAAGAAAUUCUGUUGGAGAAGUCAUCCUCUGCCGAGACAGAAGCCAAAACAGCCUGAAACACCACAGAAAAACUUUGUGACACAGAAAUUGAUUGUUAAAUGUUACUGAUAAUCUCCUUUUUAAGGUAAAAAUUGUAACCAAUUUUUGGAAUUCACACAUCUUUAUGUUGAGUUUUUUUCUUUUCUUUUGCAAUGGGGAAGAUCUUAUCUGUCAGAAAACAUAGGAAAGAGGCCUAAAGCAGAUGAACAGAGAAAACACAUAUGGCAUAUUCUUAUUGUGAAACACAGCACAAUUAGGCUAACUUAGUGAGGAAACAAGUUAGUUUCACAGUGUUUGUAUUUCAUUUUUGUUAACUUACUGCAAAACUGUGACAAUUGUAAUGAUUAAAUGGAAAAAAUAUUGUUACCACACAUCUGGAGUUGAUAAACUUUGGAAUUUUAUCAACCACAACAACACAGACAAACCUGGAUGGUUCACAAGGUUUACUUUGACUCUUUUGGGGAAAUGAAAGCAGCUACUUCCCUUCCCUCUGUAGAACGUGUGAAUAGGACAUUAUGUUUCCGUCUUUCUACAAAAGCCCAACACCAAGCUUCUUUUUCAUCCACAUCAACCUUUUUUUGUUUAGCAACAUGUCUGUGCAGUUGAUCUAAGCCUUGAAAAGCCGCCACCUGCAGGUCUCCUGUUCUGCAGCUGAGUAUGACUUCUGUUCUCGGGUCUGAAAGCAUAAAUGAAUUAACUCACUGAAAUGAAUUAACUCUUUACAUUUUGUUUCAUUGCACAAAUAAAUAUAAGUUUUGGGAUUCA
Poecilia latipinna (sailfin molly) is the source of this 3015-nucleotide long non-coding RNA. RefSeq lists it as uncharacterized. Lineage: Eukaryota; Metazoa; Chordata; Actinopteri; Cyprinodontiformes; Poeciliidae. The transcript is spliced from 2 exons. The record is from RefSeq and is a predicted model, not a curated record.